This is a non-coding RNA of Paramuricea clavata, 393 nucleotides long. Lineage: Eukaryota; Metazoa; Cnidaria; Anthozoa; Malacalcyonacea; Plexauridae. The record is from the annotation of a GenBank genome assembly.
UUCUGAGUUUAGGGUCAGGGGUGAAGACAGAUGAGACAUGCAUGUCUAGCUGUUUGUGAAUGCUGACACAAAUCCUUACCCUGAUCAGGAUAAAACAGCGAGACAUGAAUCCAUAUCCCGUCUUCGUCUUCUGCCUUCGUUCACAACGAAUAUUUUGGCAAAAUUCGUUGUGAACUUCGUUCUGCACGAAGGCAGAAGGACAAAAACGGUAUAUAGUUUCAUGUCUCGCUGGGUUUUUUUCUGGAUCAGGGCAAGAAUUAUGGUCAGUAUUCAUAAACAGCGACACAUGGGAAGACACGUUGUGCAAACACCAGUGACGUCCAACUCAGUAUGCGCAAGAUAAUGUACAGGCGGCAAAUAUUGUCAAGUAUGCCUUCGUCUUCGUACUUCGUU